This 209-nucleotide ribosomal RNA is filed under the name uncultured eukaryote. RNAcentral describes it as "partial 18S ribosomal RNA". It matches the Rfam family "Eukaryotic small subunit ribosomal RNA", at positions 606 to 830 of the family's 1831-position model. The record is from RNAcentral.
UUAAAGUUGUUGCAGUUAAAAAGCUCGUAGUUGAACCUUGAACCUGGCUGGCCGGUCCGCCUCACCGCGUGCACUGGUCCGGCCGGGYUUUUCCUUCUGGGGAGCCGCAUGCCCUUCACUGGGUGUGUCGGGGAACCAGGACUUUUACUUUGAAAAAAUUAGAGUGUUCAAAGCAGGCCUAUGCUCGAAUACAUUAGCAUGGAAUAAUA